RNAcentral lists this ribosomal RNA (498 nucleotides) under uncultured bacterium. RNAcentral describes it as "partial 16S ribosomal RNA". It matches the Rfam family "Bacterial small subunit ribosomal RNA", at positions 30 to 523 of the family's 1533-position model. The record is from RNAcentral.
AUUGAACGCUGGCGGCAUGCCUUACACAUGCAAGUCGAACGGUAACAGGUCUUCGGAUGCUGACGAGUGGCGAACGAGUGAGUAAUACAUCGGAACGUGCCUAGUAGUGGGGGAUAACAACUCGAAAGAGUGGCUAAUACCGCAUGAGAUCUACGGAUGAAAGCAGGGGAUCGCAAGACCUUGUGCUACUAGAGCGGCCGAUGGCAGAUUAGGUAGUUGGUGGGAUAAAAGCUUACCAAGCCGACGAUCUGUAGCUGGUCUGAGAGGACGAUCAGCCACACUGGGACUGAGACACGGCCCAGACUCCUACGGGAGGCAGCAGUGGGGAAUUUUGGACAAUGGGCGAAAGCCUGAUCCAGCAAUGCCGCGUGCAGGAUGAAGGCCUUCGGGUUGUAAACUGCUUUUGUACGGAACGAAAAGCCCCGGGUUAAUACCCUGGGGUCAUGACGGUACCGUAAGAAUAAGCACCGGCUAACUACGUGCCAGCCGCCGCUGUAA